Molecule: long non-coding RNA, 796 nt
Organism: Rosa chinensis
Lineage: Eukaryota; Viridiplantae; Streptophyta; Magnoliopsida; Rosales; Rosaceae
Exons: 3
Source: RefSeq, a predicted model, not a curated record
AAUUAUCUCACCGUCUUAUUGCUAUUCAGGUAUGUAGUUAACAUAGAAUUGAUAUUGGAUGGAUGUAUGGAGCUCAAAUGGUUGUGUCUACUGUGCAGGGAUGUGAUAAAUCACGAUGGUUGAUGCAUGGGAUGUUUAGAGCCAAUGAUGAGGCCCUGCCUUUUUUAUGCACAAGGGCUCAAAUGAUGAGGUUUUUGAUCCUAAAAAGACCUGGUAGUGACAAAGACAUUGAAGGUGAAAGCAUUUAUGGCCAAUGGAUGUCACUUGGAUUUUAAUCAAACCCCCUUGGAUUCAUUCUCCCUACAGACUUCUACACAAAAGUUGGUAAGGUCCGUUUUGUUUUUCUGAUAAUUCGAGAAUUUGAUUCCUAUUCUUAGUUAUUGUUGAAAUCAGUUACAUUCCUAUCUUAUAACAUAGUAUACUCACAUUGCUAAAUAUCUCAACACUCAUUGCACUCUACGUUUCACUUCACAUCAGUAUUUUGCAGAGCUCUGAUCACGUCAUAUGCAGCUGGUUGUUUAUAGGUAACCUCAUCUCUACAUUCCAAUGCCUCAUUGAUUAAUGUUUGUGCUUACUCCAUACAAAACCAUUUCAAUGAUUUCAAUUUACAGAACCAAAUAAUCACUCUUUCUUAUUGAUUGACAGUAUUACUUAUGUUUUCCAAUUACAACAGCUCAACUGAAAUUUCGGAGGACUUAUCAUUUGUUGCAAAUGACGAAUCAGACUUUUUACUUAAACACCUACUGUUGUUAGCAUAUAACAUAUAAUGUAGCAAUGUAAUAUAACAGUGUUUCUA